RNAcentral lists this ribosomal RNA (494 nucleotides) under Rhampsinitus sp. DNA100710. Its description in RNAcentral is "partial 16S ribosomal RNA". It matches the Rfam family "Bacterial large subunit ribosomal RNA", at positions 1831 to 2600 of the family's 2925-position model. The record is from RNAcentral. Lineage: Eukaryota; Metazoa; Arthropoda; Arachnida; Opiliones; Phalangiidae.
UUUUUUAAGUUUUAAGUUAAAAUAUGCCCUGCUCUAUGAUAUAUUAUAUUAAAUAGCCGCAGUAUACUGACUGUGCAAAGGUAGCAUAAUCAUUUGGUUCUUAAAUAGGAUCUAGUAUGAAAGGGUUAACGAGAAUAAGCUGUCUUAAAAAAAAAAGUUUGAAUUUAAAUUUUUUGUAAAAAUGCAAAAAUUGAAUUAAGGGACGAUAAGACCCUAUAAAGCUUUAUUUUUUAGUAUUAUUUAAUUUUAAUCAUAUUAUAUUAUAUUAAAAAAUUUUACUGGGGCGGUAGUAUUAAAUGUAAACUAAAAUAAUAUUAUUAAAAGUUUGAUCCAAUUUUAUUGAUAAUUAGAUUAAGUUACUUUAGGGAUAACAGCAUAAUUCAUUUAGGGAGUCCAAAUCGAAAAAUGAGAUUAUGACCUCGAUGUUGAAUUAAAGUUUCUUUGAGGUGCAGGCGCUUCAAAUUGAUGGUCUGUUCGACCAUUAAAUCUUUACA